UAAUACGAAGGGGGCUAGCGUUGCUCGGAAUUACUGGGCGUAAAGGGCGCGUAGGCGGACAGUUAAGUCGGGGGUGAAAGCCCGGGGCUCAACCUCGGAAUUGCCUUCGAUACUGGCUGUCUUGAGUACGGGAGAGGUGUGUGGAACUCCGAGUGUAGAGGUGAAAUUCGUAGAUAUUCGGAAGAACACCAGUGGCGAAGGCGACACACUGGCCCGUUACUGACGCUGAGGCGCGAAAGCGUGGGGAGCAAACAGGAUUAGAUACCCUGGUAGUCCACGCCGUAAACGAUGAGUGCUAGUUGUCGGCAUGCAUGCAUGUCGGUGACGCAGCUAACGCAUUAAGCACUCCGCCUGGGGAGUACGGUCGCAAGAUUAAA
RNAcentral lists this ribosomal RNA (377 nucleotides) under uncultured bacterium. Its description in RNAcentral is "bacterial SSU rRNA". It matches the Rfam family "Bacterial small subunit ribosomal RNA", at positions 521 to 898 of the family's 1533-position model. The record is from RNAcentral.